RNAcentral lists this ribosomal RNA (926 nucleotides) under uncultured Staphylococcus sp. RNAcentral describes it as "bacterial SSU rRNA". It matches the Rfam family "Bacterial small subunit ribosomal RNA", at positions 9 to 916 of the family's 1533-position model. The record is from RNAcentral. Lineage: Bacteria; Bacillati; Bacillota; Bacilli; Caryophanales; Staphylococcaceae.
GAGUUUGAUCCUGGCUCAGGAUGAACGCUGGCGGCGUGCCUAAUACAUGCAAGUCGAGCGAACAGAUAAGGAGCUUGCUCCUUUGACGUUAGCGGCGGACGGGUGAGUAACACGUGGGUAACCUACCUAUAAGACUGGAAUAACUCCGGGAAACCGGGGCUAAUGCCGGAUAACAUGUUGAACCGCAUGGUUCUACAGUGAAAGGCGGCUUUGCUGUCACUUAUAGAUGGACCCGCGCCGUAUUAGCUAGUUGGUGAGGUAACGGCUCACCAAGGCAACGAUACGUAGCCGACCUGAGAGGGUGAUCGGCCACACUGGAACUGAGACACGGUCCAGACUCCUACGGGAGGCAGCAGUAGGGAAUCUUCCGCAAUGGGCGAAAGCCUGACGGAGCAACGCCGCGUGAGUGAUGAAGGUCUUCGGAUCGUAAAACUCUGUUAUUAGGGAAGAACAAAUGCGUAAGUAACUGUGCGCGUCUUGACGGUACCUAAUCAGAAAGCCACGGCUAACUACGUGCCAGCAGCCGCGGUAAUACGUAGGUGGCAAGCGUUAUCCGGAAUUAUUGGGCGUAAAGCGCGCGUAGGCGGUUUUUUAAGUCUGAUGUGAAAGCCCACGGCUCAACCGUGGAGGGUCAUUGGAAACUGAAAAACUUGAGUGCAGAAGAGGAAAGUGGAAUUCCAUGUGUAGCGGUGAAAUGCGCAGAGAUAUGGAGGAACACCAGUGGCGAAGGCGACUUUCUGGUCUGUAACUGGCGCUGAUGUGCGAAAGCGUGGGGAUCAAACAGGAUUAGAUACCCUGGUAGUCCACGCCGUAAACGAUGAGUGCUAAGUGUUAGGGGGUUUCCGCCCCUUAGUGCUGCAGCUAACGCAUUAAGCACUCCGCCUGGGGAGUACGGCCGCAAGGCUUAAACUCAAAGGAAUUGACGG